This 375-nucleotide ribosomal RNA is filed under the name uncultured organism. RNAcentral describes it as "partial 16S ribosomal RNA". It matches the Rfam family "Bacterial small subunit ribosomal RNA", at positions 527 to 896 of the family's 1533-position model. The record is from RNAcentral.
GGAGGGCGCAAGCGUUGUUCGGAAUUACUGGGCGUAAAGCGCGUGUAGGGCGGGUUCGGGAAAGUCGGGUGUGAAAGCCCGGGGCUCAACCCCGGAAUUGCACUCGAAACUGCCGGGCUAGAGUCCCGGAGAGGAGGGCAGAAUUCCCAGUGUAGGGGUGAAAUCCGUAGAUAUUGGGAGGAAUACCAGUGGCGAAGGCGGCCCUCUGGACGGUGACUGACGCUGAGACGCGAAAGCGUGGGGAGCAAACAGGAUUAGAUGCCCUGGUAGUCCACGCCGUAAACGUUGCGCACUAGGUGUCGGGGGUAUUCACCCCUCCGGUGCCGACGGUAACCCAUUAAGUGCGCCGCCUGGGGAGUACGGCCGCAAAGGCUA